AUUAUCUAGGCGGAAUAGCGCAUUAAAUUUAGGAUUUAAGGGUGGCCUAAUAGGGUCAGAUAGUG
This 65-nucleotide transfer RNA is filed under the name Pseudoniphargus sp. 1-Portugal. RNAcentral describes it as "tRNA-Leu". Lineage: Eukaryota; Metazoa; Arthropoda; Malacostraca; Amphipoda; Allocrangonyctidae. The record is from RNAcentral.